GUGGCAAAGCUUCUGAGCUUGAACACCCCAGCCAAAUGAGUCAGGAAAAUGAACAUUCCCACAGAAGACUUGAACAACACUUCUCUUUCCCUGCUGUGAUAUUCAGAUCUGACAGAUGGAAAAAUAGCAACAGUUUAUCAGAAUGGCUGAGUAGGGUUUCAGAUGCGCAUAACAUCCUCAGAUCUUCUGCUCGAGCCUUCUUGACUGGUCCCAGCUGUUGCCUCUUGUGCCUCUACUCCUGCUGCCCCAUUGGCACAGUCAUCCCCCAGUGGGUAAAGGAGGAGAGCUGUAGAAAAUGGAUUCCAAAUUAA
This is a long non-coding RNA of Capra hircus (goat), 311 nucleotides long. The record is from Ensembl. Lineage: Eukaryota; Metazoa; Chordata; Mammalia; Artiodactyla; Bovidae.